RNAcentral lists this ribosomal RNA (572 nucleotides) under uncultured bacterium. RNAcentral's name for it is "partial 16S ribosomal RNA". It matches the Rfam family "Bacterial small subunit ribosomal RNA", at positions 355 to 918 of the family's 1533-position model. The record is from RNAcentral.
UGGGGAAUUUUGGACAAUGGGCGAAAGCCUGAUCCAGCAAUGCCGCGUGUGUGAAGAAGGCCUUCGGGUUGUAAAGCACUUUUGUCCGGAAAGAAAUCCUCUGGGUUAAUACCUCGGGGGGAGUGACGGUACCGGAAGAAUAAGCACCGGCUAACUACGUGCCAGCAGCCGCGGUAAUACGUAGGGUGCAAGCGUUAAUCGGAAUUACUGGGCGUAAAGCGUGCGCAGGCGGUUUUGUAAGACGGAUGUGAAAUCCCCGGGCUUAACCUGGGAACUGCAUUCGUGACUGCAAGGCUAGAGUAUGGCAGAGGGGGGUAGAAUUCCACGUGUAGCAGUGAAAUGCGUAGAGAUGUGGAGGAAUACCGAUGGCGAAGGCAGCCCCCUGGGCCAAUACUGACGCUCAUGCACGAAAGCGUGGGGAGCAAACAGGAUUAGAUACCCUGGUAGUCCACGCCCUAAACGAUGUCAACUAGUUGUUGGGGGAUUCAUUUCCUUAGUAACGUAGCUAACGCGUGAAGUUGACCGCCUGGGGAGUACGGUCGCAAGGUUAAAACUUAAAGGAAUUGACGGGG